AACAGGAUUAGAUACCCUGGUAGUGCAUGCCGUAAACGAUGAGUGCUAAGUGUUGGAGGGUUUCCGCCCUUCAGUGCUGCAGCUAACGCAUUAAGCACUCCGCCUGGGGAGUACGACCGCAAGGUUGAAACUCAAAGGAAUUGACGGGGGCCCGCACAAGCGGUGGAGCAUGUGGUUUAAUUCGAAGCAACGCGAAGAACCUUACCAGGUCUUGACAUCCUUUGACCACUCUAGAGAUAGAGCUUUCCCUUCGGGGACAAAGUGACAGGUGGUGCAUGGUUGUCGUCAGCUCGUGUCGUGAGAUGUUGGGUUAAGUCCCGCAACGAGCGCAACCCUUAUUAUUAGUUGCCAGCAUUCAGUUGGGCACUCUAGUGAGACUGCCGGUGAUAAACCGGAGGAAGGUGGGGAUGACGUCAAAUCAUCAUGCCCCUUAUGACCUGGGCUACACACGUGCUACAAUGGAUGGUACAACGAGUCGCAAAACCGCGAGGUUAAGCUAAUCUCUUAAAGCCAUUCUCAGUUCGGAUUGUAGGCUGCAAUUCGCCUACAUGAAGCCGGAAUCGCUAGUAAUCGCGGAUCAGAACGCCGCGGUGAAUACGUUCCCGGGCCUUGUACACACCGCCCGUCACACCACGAGAGUUUGUAACACCCAAAGUCGGUGAGGUAACCUUCGGGAGCCAGCCGCCUAAGGUGGGACAGAUAAUUGGGGUGAAGUCGUAACAAGGUAACC
RNAcentral lists this ribosomal RNA (730 nucleotides) under uncultured bacterium. Its description in RNAcentral is "bacterial SSU rRNA". It matches the Rfam family "Bacterial small subunit ribosomal RNA", at positions 771 to 1501 of the family's 1533-position model. The record is from RNAcentral.